AAUAGAUACCCGGGUAGUCCACGCCGUAAACGAUGAGUGCUAAGUGUUAGAGGGUUUCCGCCCUUUAGUGCUGCAGCAAACGCAAUAAGCACUCCGCCUGGGGAGUACGACCGCAAGGUUGAAACUCAAAGGAAUUGACGGGGGCCCGCACAAGCGGUGGAGCAUGUGGUUUAAUUCGAAGCAACGCGAAGAACCUUACCAGGUCUUGACAUCCUCUGACAAUCCUAGAGAUAGGACUUUCCCCUUCGGGGGACAGAGUGACAGGUGGUGCAUGGUUGUCGUCAGCUCGUGUCGUGAGAUGUUGGGUUAAGUCCCGCAACGAGCGCAACCCUUGAUCUUAGUUGCCAGCAUUUAGUUGGGCACUCUAAGGUGACUGCCGGUGACAAACCGGAGGAAGGUGGGGAUGACGUCAAAUCAUCAUGCCCCUUAUGACCUGGGCUACACACGUGCUACAAUGGAUGGUACAAAGGGCUGCAAGACCGCGAGGUUUAGCCAAUCCCAUAAAACCAUUCUCAGUUCGGAUUGUAGG
Molecule: ribosomal RNA, 529 nt
Filed under: uncultured bacterium
Lineage: Bacteria
Description: bacterial SSU rRNA
Rfam family: Bacterial small subunit ribosomal RNA
Source: RNAcentral